AACGCGAAGAACCUUACCUGGGCUAGAAUGCCUCUGACCGGCGUAGAGAUACGCCUUCCUGGGUAAAACCAGGCAGAGUGCAAGGUGCUGCAUGGCUGUCGUCAGCUCGUGUCGUGAGAUGUUGGGUUAAGUCCCGCAACGAGCGCAACCCUUAUCAAUAGUUGCCAGCGGUUCGGCCGGGCACUCUAUUGAGACUGCCGUUGACAAAACGGAGGAAGGUGGGGAUGACGUCAAGUCCUCAUGGCCUUUAUGUCCAGGGCUACACACGUGCUACAAUGGCGAGUACAAAGCGCUGCAAACCUGCAAAGGGGAGCCAAUCGCAAAAAGCUCGUCUCAGUUCGGAUUGGAGUCUGCAACUCGACUCCAUGAAGCUGGAAUCGCUAGUAAUUGCAGAUCAGCAUGCUGCGGUGAAUACGUUCCCGGGUCUGUACACACCG
Molecule: ribosomal RNA, 437 nt
Filed under: uncultured bacterium
Lineage: Bacteria
Description: bacterial SSU rRNA
Rfam family: Bacterial small subunit ribosomal RNA
Source: RNAcentral